CCGACAGCGCCACCAACAGCACCACCAACAGCAACACCAGCAGUUACUCUCGCUAGACACCCAUCUCUUGCCAUCUCUGAUUCACUCAAAUGCACCGUUUUCCAACAAAUGGUUUUUUGUUAUGAUAUAUGCAAACCUUGCCUGCCUUGGAACGCAGUUCUCUGUUGCUCCCUAAUUACUAAACUUUUACUUUCACAAAAUGUUGAGGACCCAUUUUGACCAUACAAUUU
RNAcentral lists this long non-coding RNA (230 nucleotides) under Capsicum annuum. RNAcentral describes it as "long non-coding RNA (CANN_LNC017274)". Lineage: Eukaryota; Viridiplantae; Streptophyta; Magnoliopsida; Solanales; Solanaceae. The record is from RNAcentral.